CGAAAAACCAAAUUGUAAAGGUUUUGGAUUGUGAGCCCGAAAAACAAUCCUACUGUAAUCUGAGGGGUUAUAGUAAAAUUCCCAAGGGAACGCUUGGGGAGUGGACGUAGGUGCCUUGGGAUGCACCGAACCACUAUAUAUCGUUGUGUUUGUGUUGUGCUUGUUCUUAUGGUUAUUCUUGCAUUUUCUUUCAUCUUUGCUUUAGUUUAAUUCAUUCAAAUAAUUUAAGAAAGCAUCCACUGCACUUAACUAAGAAAACCUUUAAAGCACCAAAAAUUUAGAAAA
RNAcentral lists this long non-coding RNA (285 nucleotides) under Phoenix dactylifera (date palm). RNAcentral describes it as "long non-coding RNA (PDAC_LNC000606)". The record is from RNAcentral. Lineage: Eukaryota; Viridiplantae; Streptophyta; Magnoliopsida; Arecales; Arecaceae.